Molecule: long non-coding RNA, 4196 nt
Organism: Gadus chalcogrammus (walleye pollock)
Lineage: Eukaryota; Metazoa; Chordata; Actinopteri; Gadiformes; Gadidae
Exons: 4
Source: RefSeq, a predicted model, not a curated record
GGACAAAAGCGUCUUGUGAAUGCCCUAAAUAUAAACAAAAAAUAUGGGGUGGGUUUGCCUUAGCCUCCAUAUGGAUAGAAAUGAACAGAAAAUGCUAAAAUAGGGAAAAGUUUGUGUCUCACAGUCAACAAAAUAAGCACAAUUCUGUCAUAUUUCAUAGUGAAUAAUGUUAAGCCUAAAAUCGUCCUGUACCUUCAACAAAUGUAUACAGAAAAAAUGGUUAGUUAAUUAUUAGGAACGCAGGCUGGAACAGUGCUGUGUUUGUGUACUUUAGGCAGGGCAACCAGAACAGGAAGUACAAAAAUGGGUAUUCUCCAGGGUCACAUGGUUAAAGUCUGCCAUUUCAUACGAGCUGCAUUCGUAUCUACUCCGGCAUUACACAUAAUCUGCAGGGAAAUUACACCACGGUUAUGUUUUUGAGACAAAAAUAGUGCUUCCUUGAAGAUACCUUACAAAAGAGCCCUUUGAUGGUGUAAAUCUGAAUGCCGAUAUGUCUUGGAUGUUAUACAAACGGUCAUGUGCCUUUAAAACCAGAGGAUUGAGAGGUGAUCGCAGAGACACAGACAGCUGGGAGAGUCGCAGACAGAGGAUCCAGGGUGUAUGUGUGUGUGUCUCGCUCGAGUUGGAGGAAAGAAGGACAGCAGAGAGAGGGAGAGAGAGGAGAGAGAGAGACCCAAUUAGAAGGAGCGUGAGGGGGGAAAUGGGGACACGGCCGCGUCACAGAGCAGAGAAAAGGAAGCCAUGGUAGCAGGUUCCCGUUAACUUGAGCUCUGCAUGCGCUCAGUCUGCCUGUUUGGCAGCUAGCAAGUGGGAUACCAGAACUGGUUGAAGUCGUGUUUAUGUCAGCACAAAGAUCUGAAAAUUAAAUGCUGCGUCACACUUGGGAAGAGGAAUAGGUUGAUAAUGCAUGCGCAUGCCCAACUGUGUGUUUGUGUGUGUGUGUGUGUGUGUGUGUGUGUGUGUGUGUGUGUGUGUGUGUGUGUGUGUGUGUGUGUGACUUGGCGCCGGGCUGUUGGUGAGCUAUGUGUGAUCAGAAUGAGUGGUGUUUACAUGGGUAUCGGUUUGGAGCAGCAUUCUAAGAGCAGCAACAUGGUUGUUACAACAAGAUGAACAUCGAGUGUGCCUGUUUUUCAAAGGCAAGGGGAGGAAAGAGAGAGGGAGGCAGGCAGGAGAUAGAGCGAGUGAAGGGAGAGCAGGUCAGGGAGUGAGAGAGAAACAGAGAGGGAGAAAGAUUGUGGAUUAGUUGCUACGUCACUUUUUCACGUCGGGGGGUAAACAGAAGCUAACAUUACAGAAGCUCGGAGUCAUCGAGCUCCUCCACCUGAGAGUGGACGCAACGCUUUUUCCGACAUCCUCCUCCUCUUCAUCCUCCUUGUCGCAGCGGGGGAGUCGGGAGCCACUGCCACCGUCGCUCCGCCCCAGCCGCGCAGAGGAAGAGGGAGAUGGUUUACAUGAGCGAGGGCCGGUUGGGGCGCUCUGCUCAGAUAUACAGUUCAGCAGUACCACACCCAUGACUAGUAUAAUGCUAGCAUCAAAAAUCUGACUGAAGAUUCAGCUCGGAAGUCUUAUAGCAGAAUCUAAUAGCCACGAGAGGCUGAGGAUCCUGGGUGAGACUUUCAAACUAACACAGAAAAUACCUAAGGUCAGCCUUUUCAUAUGUGCCUAACUUUUUCCUUUGUAAUGUUUCAGUUUGUUUGCGUCACAGGUGGAACCGACCCUCAGAAAUACUCCCCUUGGAAGCUGGUUUCCGAUGGUGGCUUAGAGUGCGGUCCUCCAUCUAGCACCAUUUGAAAUCAGUGUUCUUGUGGUGGGAUGUGAACUUCUCCCACAGAUGCUGGAUACGUGCCAGCAACACUGCAUCACACUUGGUGGGAGGGGAGGAAAACGGGAGUUCAUCACCCAGGAAGUGUCACCCACCCCUUACCAACGGGCCGGAGGGACAGUUAGCAGUGGCGCAGUUGCAGUCGCAGUGACUCAGUAGCAGUGACUUAUGAUGUGUUCCAGAUGCCUCUUACACCACCCGCACGAGUUGCUCUUGUGGCGUAAUUUCCUGGCUUGUAACACUUAUAGCCUUCCUGUUUGUCUUUGUGAUUGCGUCAUGUCAUUGGCUAGUCAUUGUUAGCCACAUUAGCCUCUUUAGCAAACCAGCUAGAAAACAAACACAACUUUACAUUGUAUUUCACGCACAGCAAGACCGUGCAAUGCAUAAAUUGAUGACCGGAAUAACGAAGAAAUUUAAUCAAGUGUGUAAGAGCAUUUAAAAUCGACAUUAAAAUGACCAACGUGGUACGAAUACAAAGAAAAUAAAUCCAAUUUUUGGACCAGCCAUUUUUGUUGUCGAGUUGUACGGUCAACCUCACUGAACUCUGUAUACUCUCAGAAUUGACCAAAACUUUUGGUCGGUCCCAGGUGAAAUGCUGCAAGAAAGCUGGGAGAUUACCCCAUUUGCAACUCGUUCGGCUGGUGUACGAGGCAUCUGGAACACACCAUCAGUUAGCGUGAGGCAGUUAGCCAUGACUCAGUUAGCCAUGGCACAGUAGCAGUGACUCAGUUAGCAGUCAUUCAGCUAGCCAUGGCACAGUAGCAGUGACUCAGUAGCAGUGACGCAUUGAGCAGUAACGCAGUUACCAUUGACGCAGUAGCAUUGACUCAGUAGCAGUGACGCAGUUAGCAUUGAGCAGUAGCAGUGAUACAGUAGCAGUGACGCAGUUACCAUUGACGCAGUAGCAUUGACUCAGUAGCAGUGAUGCAGUUAUCAUUGACCGUUAGCAGUGACUCAAUAGCAGUGACGCAGUUAACAUUGACGCAGUGACGCAGUUGGCAUUGACACAGUAGCAGUGACACAGUUAGCAGUGCAAGCUUAAGGUCCUCUUUUCCAAGGUUGACUGAUUUCUUUCGGUGUUCAGAGUCUUCUUGUGUUUCUAGCACCAUUUGAAAUCGGUUACAAUGAAGGAUACCUCAUCGGGAGGGUGAGCUCCUCUGCGGCGGGCCCGUGGGCAGACUGGGGUUGGGCAGAAGGGUUUAAAAAGGGGCCUUAGUUCUAAGAUCACUAGUUCUCUUCAAUUGAACUAGCAGGUCUUUAAUGCAACUGAAUGUAUUGGGCUAAUGGCCAAGAAGCAUUCAUCUGAAAUCUUUUAUUUUUAAGCGUUAUACAGGAAUGUAAUGUUUGGUAUUCAUACGUGAUGAAUGAAAAUUAAAUGCUGAAUGGAUUAUAAAAAUUGUAAUCCAUUUGUUGACCGAUAUUAAAGACUUAGAAUCACUAACUACAUUUCAUACUCAAACAGAGAGUACAGUAACACAGAACGUGGACGGAAGUACUUUAAUCAUUUUUAUAAUUUCAAGCUCAUGUUCAUAUCAAAUGGUUGUCAAGGCACAAUGAAAUACAAUGCUAAUAAAUUAUGGAUAUUACUAAUGCAGUUGACCAUUUUGAUAGAUAUUUUUAAAUGGCGUCAAUAGAUUUAUUUCGCUUUUCACAUUUUGUCACAUUUAGAAUGUGGAAAAUCGAUAGCAAACGAUUGGAACACAAUGAUCUGAGGCUUCAGAUUUGAUCUGCACACAUAUUUAUACCUCAUUUCAAUUAUUUACAACCACAGAAUGUCUCCAUGGCGCUACGGCCCCAGCAAAGCCUAUAAGUGCAAAUUGUCAAAAAAUACAUACCUCAAACAUUGGGCGAUGAUUAAUUUAAAAUAAAUAUAAAUGUUUUACCUCCACAUUUAGAGAUUUGAGUGGGGGACCACAGUAAAAAAAACAUUUUAUUUUACAUUCACACAUCCAACCCAAUAACGUCAACUCCACAACUAAACAACCCAUUGGUUAAAAACAAGCCCCUCCAAAAAGGGCUUGUUUAAUUCAUCUGCUUACAACCAUAAAUUGGGUUCAAAACGACCAAGGCCAAAUAGACCAACCAAGAACGAGUAGCAAUACAAAACGGCUCCAUUUUCUUUUCUUAACAAAAAUCAAUCUACAAUAAGGUUUACAAUACAGGGUUGAUGGCAAAGUAAUCAACCAAAUAAUUGUACUUUGGCAGCAAAUGCAGCCAGAAAUGUUUCUAUCAAACGCAUUGACCUUUUCUCAAAACUUAAAACGUGGCAAAUAAACAUGUUGAAGGUGGAAGAGAAAUAAAUAAUUGAAUGUAACACUAUCAAUCUAAUACAGCAUUAAUUCGGAAGCAUUCAUUGGAGUAAGCUAUGCUUAAG